This 793-nucleotide ribosomal RNA is filed under the name Staphylococcus sp. IMCC1737. RNAcentral's name for it is "bacterial SSU rRNA". It matches the Rfam family "Bacterial small subunit ribosomal RNA", at positions 73 to 850 of the family's 1533-position model. Lineage: Bacteria; Bacillati; Bacillota; Bacilli; Caryophanales; Staphylococcaceae. The record is from RNAcentral.
AAGGAGCUUGCUCCUUUGACGUUAGCGGCGGACGGGUGAGUAACACGUGGGUAACCUACCUAUAAGACUGGGAUAACUUCGGGAAACCGGAGCUAAUACCGGAUAACAUUUGGAACCGCAUGGUUCUAAAGUGAAAGAUGGUUUUGCUAUCACUUAUAGAUGGACCCGCGCCGUAUUAGCUAGUUGGUAAGGUAACGGCUUACCAAGGCGACGAUACGUAGCCGACCUGAGAGGGUGAUCGGCCACACUGGAACUGAGACACGGUCCAGACUCCUACGGGAGGCAGCAGUAGGGAAUCUUCCGCAAUGGGCGAAAGCCUGACGGAGCAACGCCGCGUGAGUGAUGAAGGGUUUCGGCUCGUAAAACUCUGUUAUUAGGGAAGAACAAACGUGUAAGUAACUGUGCACGUCUUGACGGUACCUAAUCAGAAAGCCACGGCUAACUACGUGCCAGCAGCCGCGGUAAUACGUAGGUGGCAAGCGUUAUCCGGAAUUAUUGGGCGUAAAGCGCGCGUAGGCGGUUUCUUAAGUCUGAUGUGAAAGCCCACGGCUCAACCGUGGAGGGUCAUUGGAAACUGGGAAACUUGAGUGCAGAAGAGGAAAGUGGAAUUCCAUGUGUAGCGGUGAAAUGCGCAGAGAUAUGGAGGAACACCAGUGGCGAAGGCGACUUUCUGGUCUGUAACUGACGCUGAUGUGCGAAAGCGUGGGGAUCAAACAGGAUUAGAUACCCUGGUAGUCCACGCCGUAAACGAUGAGUGCUAAGUGUUAGGGGGGUUUCGCCCCCUAGUGCUGCA